Podarcis lilfordi (Lilford's wall lizard) is the source of this 73-nucleotide non-coding RNA. Lineage: Eukaryota; Metazoa; Chordata; Lepidosauria; Squamata; Lacertidae. The record is from the annotation of a GenBank genome assembly.
GCAGGAUAGCUCAGUCGGGAAGAGCACAAAGCUCUUGAUCUCAGGGUUGUGGAUUCGAGUCCCACGUGGGGCA